RNAcentral lists this long non-coding RNA (741 nucleotides) under Nicotiana benthamiana. RNAcentral's name for it is "long non-coding RNA (NBEN_LNC011921)". The record is from RNAcentral. Lineage: Eukaryota; Viridiplantae; Streptophyta; Magnoliopsida; Solanales; Solanaceae.
UUCGUUCACCACUAACGAUGAUUUACAGUGAUGUUGACACAACUCUCUUUUGUGUUCUAACUUUUUCUAUAUUUUGUGAUACUUGUAAACUCAAGAAUAUAGUGUUUGUGCUAAGAACUAGAGAGACCUAGAAGAUAAUGUUUGUAGUUGCGCAAAUCUUCUUCUUGAGAUUUACAAUCUUCUUAAAUGAGAGUUUGAGAGCCGUUGCAAAUUGGUCUUGAUUGAGGCACUAAGUCUUCUAAGAGAUUUGACCCAAGGGGUGCCUCUGAAUCCUGCACUUUAGAUGGGCUAGAUUCAUUUAUGUCUUUCCUUUUCAUAUCCUCAUUUUAUGGAGUGACUUUAGGCUUCAAAAUGGCUGGUCAAUCUUCUAAUAUAGUCCAUGACGAGAGGCCCGAUAUGGUCGAGCUGCACUUGAUAUAUUUCCCUUGUUAGACAUCCUCGAUGUCCUUUGAUUGAGACUGAGAUGGCGAGACUAAUUUGGUUUCCUUUUUGAUGGCUUGAAUUCCUUUAAUUUAGCAUCAUCAACUCUGGAAAUCCUUUGUUGUAGCAUCAUCAAAUCUUCGAUCUUCUCUUCUAUUUGUUGAUGCCCUUGAUGGUGCCUUUAUUCCUGCAAUCGAAGUAGAUAGAAUUAAGCAUUGCAAAAUUAUCAUCAUUGAAACUUAGAUUUAACACAUAUUUCAUGCACCCCAUCCAAAUAACCAAUGUUCAAAACUCUAUUUUUCUUCAAAAAUUUAAUUAUUU